AUAGAUUCUCUUGGCAUUGAGUGGUAACCACUGUUAGGUUAGGUUAGGUUAUAGUGGCUGUCCAAGAUGGAAACGGACACACUUAGGCCAGUUUAAUGGCCCAUUGUGAUACCACAUGAAUCUUGAGGCUUCCUUCUAAGCUCAAUGAAAC
Molecule: long non-coding RNA, 151 nt
Organism: Eupeodes corollae
Lineage: Eukaryota; Metazoa; Arthropoda; Insecta; Diptera; Syrphidae
Exons: 3
Source: RefSeq, a predicted model, not a curated record